This 465-nucleotide ribosomal RNA is filed under the name uncultured bacterium. RNAcentral describes it as "partial 16S ribosomal RNA". It matches the Rfam family "Bacterial small subunit ribosomal RNA", at positions 338 to 795 of the family's 1533-position model. The record is from RNAcentral.
CCUACGGGAGGCAGCAGUGGGGAAUAUUGGGCAAUGGGCGAAAGCCUGAUGGAGCAACGCCGCGUGGGUGAAGAAGGUCUUCGGAUCGUAAAACCCUGUUGUUAGAGAAGAAAGUGCGUGAGAGUACCUGUUCACGUUUCGACGGUAUCUAACCAGAAAGCCACGGCUAACUACGUGCCAGCAGCCGCGGUAAUACGUAGGUGGCAAGCGUUAUCCGGAUUUAUUGGGCGUAAAGGGAACGCAGGCGGUCUUUUAAGUCUGAUGUGAAAGCCGUCGGCUUAACCGGAGUAGUGCAUUGGAAACUGGGAGACGUGAGUGCAGAAGAGGAGAGUGGAACUCCAUGUGUAGCGGUGAAAUGCGUAGAUAUAUGGAAGAACACCAGUGGCGAAAGCGGCUCUCUGGUCUGUAACUGACGCUGAGGUUCGAAAGCGUGGGUAGCAAACAGGAUUAGAUACCCCUGUAGUC